CCUACGGGUGGCAGCAGUCGAGAAUCAUUCACAAUGGGGGAAACCCUGAUGGUGCGACGCCGCGUGGGGGAAUGAAGGUCUUCGGAUUGUAAACCCCUGUCAUGUGGGAGCAAAUUAAAAAGAUAGUACCACAAGAGGAAGAGACGGCUAACUCUGUGCCAGCAGCCGCGGUAAUACAGCGGUCUCAAGCGUUGUUCGGAAUCACUGGGCGUAAAGCGUGCGUAGGCGGUUUCGUAAGUCGUGGGUUAAAGGCGCGGGCUCAACCCGCGGACGGCGCAUGAUACUGCGAGAGUAGGGGAAUGGAGGGGGAACCGGAAUUGUGGGUGUAGCAGGGAAAGGCGUAG
This 344-nucleotide ribosomal RNA is filed under the name uncultured bacterium. RNAcentral's name for it is "partial 16S ribosomal RNA". It matches the Rfam family "Bacterial small subunit ribosomal RNA", at positions 338 to 693 of the family's 1533-position model. The record is from RNAcentral.